GGGACAAACCUGAACAGUUUCAAACCAUCCUCAGAUCUCGACCUCACCUACUUGAAGACAUCAUGAUUGGCUGGGGGAUUCUGGGAGUUGAAAUCCACCUAUUCUGAAGUUGCCAAGAUGGCGAAACACUGGAGAUUCAUAUUACUAGAACUUCAUUGCCUGUCUGGUUUGCCGUCUGAGGUAGAGGAAGAAAAAAAACCCUAGUUUAUCCAACAGACAAACCCAAAUGUUGGUUUGAUGUGCGGGUGGCAUUUUUGCUUGCAGUCUGAGAUUUAAAAUGGGACACGCCCCCUCCCCCCAUUCGAUGGUGGUUUAUUCAACAAAGCAGGUCUAAGCCAACAGUGGUUUAAUGUGGCAUGUGACCCGAGGCGUAGGACAUGGACUUUCAUGACCAUAUCCUUCCACAGGUAGUCCUCGACUUACGGCUGGCAUUGAGGCCAAAAUUUCCAUCGCUAAGCAAGAGAGUUCAGUGGUUUCACUCCGUGUUAUGUCCUUCCUUGCCAUCAUUGUUAAGUCAGUCACCCAGUGGUUAGACUGAAUCUGGCUUCUUCCCUGUCGAUUUGGCUUGUCGGAAGGUUGCAAAAAGGGGAUCAGGACAGUGUGACCGUCAUAAAUACGGAUGCCUGUCAUCAGUCCCUUUUUUCAGUGCCAUAAUGUUGAACGGUCCCUGAACGAACUGUUGUAAGUCAGAGACUACCUGUACAAAUUCCAGCUCAGAUUAGAACCCUUCCAAGAUUUGAUGGAGGUGCUUCUAACGCCUCUUCAUGGGCUUCUAAAAAUGUGCAAUUGGGCCACUGGAUGUUUCGUUAAGCCUUAAGGAGAGAUUGGAAUCUCCUAUGCCCAGGAGGACUGUGCCUGUUUGUGUGUGUGUGUUGUGUGUGUAUGUUGCAGCUUACUGGGCCUCUAUUUUUGUAAUCCGAAUGGACUGUGGCAUACAUUUUAGUCCCUUUUGAUUGUAAUAA
Molecule: non-coding RNA, 962 nt
Organism: Pseudonaja textilis
Lineage: Eukaryota; Metazoa; Chordata; Lepidosauria; Squamata; Elapidae
Source: RefSeq, a predicted model, not a curated record